GGAAAGUACAGGCUUGUGUGAGAAGCCACCACGGCAGACAAUCCUGAGUAGCGGGCAGAAACCGGCUGUAAAUGUCACUCUCCCAGGGCUGACUGAGGUGGCCUCCCAGCUGGCUUCACACAGCCCUGUCACACCUUCCAUCUGUGCCCGGGGCGCUUCCUGAGACUCCCAGUUCCUCAGUGUGAAUCCCAGAUGGUUCCCAUCGCCAUCUGGAUAAAGGCUCCACUCCCCAGCUGGCCUUAAAGACCCUCACAAUCCGGCCCGACCACCCAGCACCCUCCCUCUCCUUCCCUCUACGACCUUGCGUCUCUGAAUACACUUGUUCCUCUGCC
Molecule: long non-coding RNA, 332 nt
Filed under: Homo sapiens (human)
Lineage: Eukaryota; Metazoa; Chordata; Mammalia; Primates; Hominidae
Description: HSALNT0311746
Source: RNAcentral